This is a long non-coding RNA of Canis lupus familiaris (dog), 436 nucleotides long. RefSeq lists it as uncharacterized. Lineage: Eukaryota; Metazoa; Chordata; Mammalia; Carnivora; Canidae. The transcript is spliced from 3 exons. The record is from RefSeq and is a predicted model, not a curated record.
GUAAGCUCUACACCCAAUGUGGGGUCUGUACUCAGAACCCUCAGAUCAAGAAUUACAUCUACGGACUGAGCCAGGCAGUACGGUGAAGAUGUGCCUAGAACAGUGGCAGCUUUCUUGUCACCAUGAGGAGAUUCAGCAAAGAUUGUACUAGUCGGAGUCUUGAGGAAAAGGAUAUGAAAAACAAAACAAAACAAAACCUGGAUCUUUAAUGAUGUUGGUGAGCUCCUAAAUGAACCCAUCUUGGACCCACCUCAGGACUUUUUAUUUGGCGAGAUUGACUGCACAUAUGUGUUACCGAGUUUCCUUGAGAUAUCAUCACACUUCCUAUCAAGUCUGUUACCUACAUGGUGCAGUCACCUAAUGACCAGAAAGGUAUGUGUGCCAUUUUCCCCCUUCAACAAUGGCAAGAGUAAAACAAAUGAAAAUGGCUAUAAUG